This 415-nucleotide ribosomal RNA is filed under the name uncultured bacterium. RNAcentral describes it as "bacterial SSU rRNA". It matches the Rfam family "Bacterial small subunit ribosomal RNA", at positions 358 to 771 of the family's 1533-position model. The record is from RNAcentral.
GGAAUAUUGGUCAAUGGGCGAGAGCCUGAACCAGCCAUGCCGCGUGUAGGAUGACGGCCUUCUGGGUUGUAAACUACUUUUCUACAGGAAGAAAAAGACUAUGCGUAGUCAAUUGACGGUACUGUAGGAAUACUCCCCGGCUACCUCCGUUCCCCCAGCCGCGGUAAUACGGAGGGUGCGAGCGGUGUCCGGAUUUAUUGGGUUUAAAGGGUGCGUAGGCGGCUCUUUAAGUCAGUGGUGAAAGCCCGCAGCUUAACUGUGGAACUGCCAUUGAUACUGGAGAGCUUGAGUACGGUUGAAGUAGGCGGAAUUUAUGGUGUAGCGGUGAAAUGCAUAGAUACCAUAAAGAACACCGAUAGCGUAGGCAGCUUACUAAGCCGUAACUGACGCUGAGGCACGAAAGCAUGGGGAGCGA